Molecule: ribosomal RNA, 407 nt
Filed under: uncultured prokaryote
Also listed under: 1 other name
Description: bacterial SSU rRNA
Rfam family: Bacterial small subunit ribosomal RNA
Source: RNAcentral
UGGGGUAUAUUGGGCAAUGGGGGACACCCUGACCCAGCAACGCCGCGUGAGGGAAGAAGGUUAUCGGAUUGUAAACCUCUGUCCAUGGUGAAGAAAGAGAUGACGGUAGCCAAGGAGGAAGCCCCGGCUAACUACGUGCCAGCAGCCGCGGUAAUACGUAGGGGGCGAGCGUUGUCCGGAAUGAUUGGGCGUACAGGGCGCGUAGGCGGCCUGUUAAGUCUGGAGUGAAAUUCCUGCUUUCAAGGUAGGAAGUGCUUUGGAAACUGGCGGGCUGGAGUGCAGGAGAGGUUAGCGGAAUUCCCGGUGUAGCGGUGAAAUGCGUAGAGAUCGGGAGGAACACCAGUGGCGAAGGCGGCUAACUGGACUGUAACUGACGCUGAAGCGCGAAAGUGUGGGGAGCAAACAGG